CCUACGGGCGGCAGCAGUGGGGAAUAUUGGACAAUGGGCGAAAGCCUGAUCCAGCCAUGCCGCGUGUAUGAAGAAGGCCUUCGGGUUGUAAAGCACUUUCAGUGGGGAAGAAAGCCUUGGGGCUAAUACCCUCGAGGAAGGACAUCACCCACAGAAGAAGCACCGGCUAACUCCGUGCCAGCAGCCGCGGUAAUACGGAGGGUGCGAGCGUUAAUCGGAAUUACUGGGCGUAAAGCGCGCGUAGGCGGUCUGAUAAGCCGGUUGUGAAAGCCCCGGGCUCAACCUGGGAACGGCAUCCGGAACUGUCAGGCUAGAGUGCAGGAGAGGAAGGUAGAAUUCCCGGUGUAGCGGUGAAAUGCGUAGAGAUCGGGAGGAAUACCAGUGGCGAAGGCGGCCUUCUGGACUGACACCGACGCUGAGGUGCGAAAGCGUGGGUAGCAAACAGGAUUAGAUACCCGAGUAGUC
Molecule: ribosomal RNA, 465 nt
Filed under: Vreelandella stevensii
Lineage: Bacteria; Pseudomonadati; Pseudomonadota; Gammaproteobacteria; Oceanospirillales; Halomonadaceae
Description: partial 16S ribosomal RNA
Rfam family: Bacterial small subunit ribosomal RNA
Source: RNAcentral